AGAGUUUGAUUCUGGCUCAGAACGAACGCUGGCGGCGUGGAUAAGACAUGCAAGUCGAACGAGAGAAUUGCUAGCUUGCUAAUAAUUCUCUAGUGGCGCACGGGUGAGUAACACGUGAGUAACCUGCCCCCGAGAGCGGGAUAGCCCUGGGAAACUGGGAUUAAUACCGCAUAGAAUCGCAAGAUUAAAGCAGCAAUGCGCUUGGGGAUGGGCUCGCGGCCUAUUAGUUAGUUGGUGAGGUAACGGCUCACCAAGGCGAUGACGGGUAGCCGGUCUGAGAGGAUGUCCGGCCACACUGGAACUGAGACACGGUCCAGACACCUACGGGUGGCAGCAGUCGAGAAUCAUUCACAAUGGGGGAAACCCUGAUGGUGCGACGCCGCGUGGGGGAAUGAAGGUCUUCGGAUUGUAAACCCCUGUCAUGUGGGAGCAAAUUAAAAAGAUAGUACCACAAGAGGAAGAGACGGCUAACUCUGUGCCAGCAGCCGCGGUAAUACAGAGGUCUCAAGCGUUGUUCGGAAUCACUGGGCGUAAAGCGUGCGUAGGCUGUUUCGUAAGUCGUGUGUGAAAGGCGCGGGCUCAACCCGCGGACGGCACAUGAUACUGCGAGACUAGAGUAAUGGAGGGGGAACCGGAAUUCUCGGUGUAGCAGUGAAAUGCGUAGAUAUCGAGAGGAACACUCGUGGCGAAGGCGGGUUCCUGGACAUUAACUGACGCUGAGGCACGAAGGCCAGGGGAGCGAAAGGGAUUAGAUACCCCUGUAGUCCUGGCAGUAAACGGUGCACGCUUGGUGUGCGGGGAAUCGACCCCCUGCGUGCCGGAGCUAACGCGUUAAGCGUGCCGCCUGGGGAGUACGGUCGCAAGAUUAAAACUCAAAGAAAUUGACGGGGACCCGCACAAGCGGUGGAGUAUGUGGCUUAAUUCGAUGCAACGCGAAGAACCUUACCUGGGCU
This 953-nucleotide ribosomal RNA is filed under the name human gut metagenome. Its description in RNAcentral is "bacterial SSU rRNA". It matches the Rfam family "Bacterial small subunit ribosomal RNA", at positions 8 to 981 of the family's 1533-position model. The record is from RNAcentral.